CCGGUUCUUGGGCAGAGGGUUUGGUUCAGUGCCCGGCGCUUUGAUGCCGAGGUUUUUCAAUUCAAUUAAGAUUUUUGUUAAUGUUUGUCUAUCUCAACAUCUUAAAAUGUCAGAUAUUUCUUCAAUAAAAGAGCUCUUUGAAAAUGGGUUGAUCAUUGAAAGAGAUUGAAAUCUGGAUCAGUUGAAGGCUAAUCCAUGUUCAUGGACAGAAAGACUCAAGACUGCACAGAAUUCAAAAGGACAAGAAGGAUAAGGCAAUUUAGCAGAAGGAGGAAGAGAAGGAAGAAGAGGAGGAAGAGGAGGAAGCGGGAAGGCACAUACCAUAAAGCUGUGUGGCAGGAGGAUGUAAUGUUCCUCUCCUUGCCUGCCUCUCCAGAAGGCGAACAGGCCCCCCUCGCCAUGUGGUCCACCAGAUGCACUGCGCUGCCACCGGCCUGGAGCAACAGAGCCAAAUGAUCACGGAAUAAAGCAUCUGAGACCACAAGCCAAAGUGAAAUGUUUCCUCUAAGUUGUUUAUCUCAGAUGUUUUGUCAUAGUGAUACAAAGCUAACAUAACUCUGGUAUUUCAAACCGCAAUGGCUCCCAAUGAAAAAAGACAGUCAUGGUCUGUCUAUUGCUUAUUAUUGCUGUUGCUAUGAUUAACACCAUGACCAAAAGCAGCUUGGCAAGGAAAGGGUUUAUUUCACUCUCGGUUUCAUAUAACAGUUGAUCAGCAAAAGUAUCGGGCAAGACCUCAAGUAGGGUGGGAACCUGGAGGCAGGAGCUGAUGCAGAGGCCGUAGAGGAUGCUGCUCACUGUCUUAGAUCCUGGGCACUCCUGUAUCUCCUGCCUGCUCCUUCCCCCUCCCCUUUCCUUCCUUGGCCAACUCCCAUUUACCUCCCAUGAUUGAGUUCAAUGGCUGUGGCUCAGAACAGCCAGGGCUCUUGACUCCUUGGAUGGUGUGAUUCCCUGCCACACACUCUUUGAGCCUCCGUUGCUCCUGAGCUCCAGGACCUUUAUUCAGUAUCUUUCCUUCCAGCAUCAUGAGAUCGGGGACUGUCUGUGGGAUGUGCUCCUGGAACCAUACCUGGCACCUGACAUGAUCUUUCAUUGACCUACGGCUCACUAAGAAGGCAAGACUGGAUAGCCAGCAAGUUCCAGGGGUCCUCCCGUCUCUGUCUCCCCAGCACUGGGAUUACAAGCAGGCCACCAUCCUUGGCUUUUUCUGUGGAUUCCGAGAAUUAGACUCAGAGCUUCAGACUUCUUCAGCAGGCAUUUCUCCUGCCCUGAGCUGAUAUGGGAUGGGCCUCUGUAUGCUGAGAAUGGGUUGCUUUUAUUGGUUGAUGAUUAAAGCUGUUUUGGCCAAUGGCCAGGCAGAAUAUAGCUAGGUGGGAAAUCCAGAGUUAGGGGGAAAAAAAAGAAGGUGGAGUCAGAGAGACGCCAUGUAGCAAGGGGGAAGUAAAAUGUGAGGUGACAAGUUACGAGGCUCAUGGUAAAAUAUAAACUAACAGAAAUGGGGUAAUUUAAUUGUGAGAGUUAGUAAUAUGCCUGAGCCAUUGGCCAAUCAAUUGUAAUUAACAUUAAGCUUCAGAGUGGUUAUUUAAUAAGCGGUUUUGGGAGCUGGCGGGACAGACAAGAAGCCUCCAAUUACACUGAGCCAGACAAUUAAAUGGAUGUAAAACAUACGCACAGAGAAAAGCAUGCAGACUUAUUUCAUGCAACUUUUACAUGACCCCGGAGCCUUCAUGAGAAAAAAAAAGACCCCCAAAUUCAGUUAGAGUUGAACAUUUGCAUAUGGAACUGGACAGAGAGUAGCCAAGUCCUGUGGAAACAAAUUAUAUGGGGUGGCUCAGGCGAGGUGAGAGUUAACAUGACACAGCCUGCACAGAGCUCCCUCCAUGCUAGCACCCCAUUGCAUUCCACCACCCCAUUUCUUUCUCUUUUGCAAGGUCUGCUGUAGUACAAGCUGGCUUCCAGCUUGCUACGUAGCUAGGAUGACCUAGAACUCCUGAUCCUCCUGCGUGGUGGGACUGCAGGCCUGCAUCGCCACUGUGAACUUCCACUGCUGACGGAAAUGCACUGCAAGGGCACAGUGGGGGCCUCCAUCAUGUGGAGAUGUCACCUCCUGCUUCAAGAAACAGAAAGAAGUUCUGGGGCGCCUCCUUGUUUGGUGUCACUAUUUUGACUCAAAAUAGUCUCUGCAGCCAGGUGGCAUGCUCUUAACUCCUUCUGUGGGAAGGAAACAGUGGGAAACAAUGCCUGAUUUUUUUUUAGGGGAAACCCUGUGUUUUCUCAAGCCUUUGUUUUGGGUUUGUUUUAACGGCACCUGCGUUUCUUGCAGUGGUUUUUCACAAAGAAACUUCCUUUCCAGAGUCACAAUAUUUCAACUCAUGUUCUUUCCCCCAGCAGGGAAAUAUUGGCAAACUCAGCCUUUGUUAGCCCGCUGACAUUGAUUGAAAUAGUCAUUUCCUCUGGGAAGCCUUUGCCAUGGAAACAAACUUGGAGCUUGGAUCUGAAUGUCUGAGUGAGAUGGAGUCCUCGGGUGCUACAACUUCUAAUGGCUGCCAGCCUUUUUCACAGAGCUAUCGAAGUUAAGAUCUGCAGGACAGGGCAAAGUAGUAUGUUCCCACUGGCUUGGCUGAUGCUAAGGAGCAAGGCAGAACAGUGUUGGGGCACACAUACUUACUGCUGGGAUGCCUGGAUUUUCAAGCCUCCCUCUGCUACUGCAAGUUGACUAUUCUGAGACUCAACUUCUGUCUCUACAGAAUUCCUAAGAUUGUUGUAAUUACUAGCCAGCACACUAAAUGGUACUUACAGAUGUCUCACUGUCAAUAAGAACUGUAGUUUACUGGAUAGCUGUACCCAGGAAAAUCCUUUACCCAUGAAAUACAUAUGGGCUGUAGUUCCAACUUUGUGAACAUUUGAUGUCUAUAUAAUUAAUUCAAGCUGUUAUAUGGCAAAAUACCCAAGGCUGGAUAAUGUAUGAAGAACAAAUUUAAUUUUUGUGCUGUGGUUGUAGAGAGGGUGUCAUCUGUGGAGGAGGGUGAGAAAGAGGUACACAGGAUCUUUCAGUGUUUCUGGAAUUACUUCAGAGGCUACAAAGCACCUAGAAGACUUCAAUUUGAUCAUGUGAUUCUUUGAAUAAAGACAUUUCCAGGAGACUGUGGGAUCCCUGAAGUUAAGGACUAUUUUCUCCUUGGUACCUACCACACUGCCUGAUAUAUCCUAGGCCUUCAACACUUUUUGGCUCAAUGAAUAAAGAAAGAAGUUGGGAUUCUGAAGGUAGCUACCAAGAGCUGAAGCAGAAAAAGAGAAACGAAUUGGUCCUGUUUGGGGAUGGGAAGAAAAAGGCAAGAAAAAGUUGAUGUACUAACUUUAUUUUUGUUUUUGUUUUUUCAAGACAGGGUUUCUCUGUGUAAUAACUCUGGCUG
Long non-coding RNA from Mesocricetus auratus (golden hamster), 3410 nucleotides. RefSeq lists it as uncharacterized. The record is from RefSeq and is a predicted model, not a curated record. NCBI's taxonomy places the organism in Eukaryota, Metazoa, Chordata, Mammalia, Rodentia, Cricetidae. The transcript has 4 exons.